RNAcentral lists this ribosomal RNA (113 nucleotides) under Pseudogymnoascus sp. VKM F-4515 (FW-2607). Lineage: Eukaryota; Fungi; Ascomycota; Leotiomycetes; Thelebolales; Thelebolaceae. The record is from RNAcentral.
AAAUACGACCAUAGAGUACUGAGCAUCCCGUCCGCUCUGUCAUACAUAAAUUUGAGGUCGGUGGAUUAGUAGUUGGGUGGGUGACCACCAGCGAAUACCCCCUGUUGUAUGUU